AUCCAGGUGACGAGUCUCAAAUAGGACGAAAUGCGCAUCCUGGAU
This 45-nucleotide non-coding RNA is filed under the name Trichobilharzia regenti. Lineage: Eukaryota; Metazoa; Platyhelminthes; Trematoda; Strigeidida; Schistosomatidae. The record is from RNAcentral.